This is a long non-coding RNA of Gasterosteus aculeatus aculeatus (three-spined stickleback), 1775 nucleotides long. Lineage: Eukaryota; Metazoa; Chordata; Actinopteri; Perciformes; Gasterosteidae. The record is from Ensembl.
GCCGGUUACAUUGAACACAAUCAUAGCUGUACAUUAGAUUCUAUUUAUUAGUUUCAAAAUGUUUCCAUAUUUUUGCAUGCAUCAAAUGACAAUUGUUGGUAGACAGUGCAGUUCAAAGUACUUUAUUGAAUUUGACAAAAGGCAGAUGUCAGGACAGACUGCUUUCAGAAAGUCAGGAACCUGUAAAACAGAAAUAUUCAGAAAGUAUGCCAUCAAGUGAAACUUCUUCGCCAAAAAGACUAAAUUUAAAGUUAACUUACUGCGGCGAACGACGAGGUCAAUGUUUUACAACGGCACUAGUGGAUGCCGCUACCUGGUAUACUGUUCGACUGCUGGGGCCUCGGCGGUUUUUGAAGGUUGCCAGUAUUGGAAGUGGGAAGCUUUUGGGGCCUAGGUGGUGGCAAAAUAGAACCUGAAACCAAGUCCCACAUGCCAGCUUUAGUUUGAAACACCCCUUUCUGGGGGUUGAGUUUAUGUGGUUGGUAGACAGAACUGAGAGUAGUCAACUGCUGGGGCAUCAGCGGUUUUUGAAGGUAGCCAGUAUUGAAGGUGGGCAGCUCCUGGGGCCUCGGCGCCGUUUGAAGGUAGCCAGUAUUGAAGGUGGGUGGCCCCUGGGGUCUGGGGGGCAUUCGACGGCAGCCAGUAUUGGAAGUUGGCAGCUCCUGGGGCAUGGGGGGCUUCUGAGGGUAGCCAGUAUUGGAAGUGGGCAGCUCCUGGGGCAUGGGGGGCUUCUGAGGGUAGACAAGAUUUGAUGUGGGAAGCUCCUGAGGGUAGCCAGUAUUGGAAGUUGGCAGCUCCUGGGGCAUGGGGGGCUUCUGAGGGUAGCCAGUAUUGGAAGUGGGCAGCCCCUGGGGCCUGGGGGGCUUCUGAGGGUAGCCAGUAUUGGACGCAGGCAGUGCCCGGGGCCUGGGUGGCUUCUGAGGGUAGACAAGAUUUGAUGUGGGAAGCUCCUGAGGGUAGCCAGUAUUGGAAGUGGGCAGCCCCUGGGGCCUGGGAGGCUUCUGAGGGUAGCCAGUAUUGGAAGCGGGCAGUGCCCGGGGCCUGGGUGGCUUCUGAGGGUAGACAAGAUUUGAUGUGGGAAACUCCUGAGGGUAGCCAGUAUUGGAAGUGGGCAGCUCCUGGGGCCUGGGGGGCUUCUGAGGGUAGACAAGAUUUGAGGUGGGCUGCUCCUGUGGGUAGAUCAUAGUCGAUGUGGGAAGCUCCUGGGGGUAGACAGUAUCGGAGGUGCUCUGCUCAUGAACUGCUUUUGUUGGGAAACCAAUUUUGAAAGGGGGCGACUCCUGGGUCCUCAGCCAAUUUUGUGGGUAGCCCAGAUUGAACGCACUGGGUUGAGGAUCAGAUUGCAUAAUAAUUGCACUACUUGAGGCAAUACCAGACUCAAUGCUAUAUCCUUUUUGUUGAGGGACCAAAUCCAAGUUGCCACUGUUGGUCCACAAUACACCAUUACCAUAAGUGUUAGUUUGAGGUGGCUGCUGAGAGUUCUUUGGAGAUUUCCUAAGGAUCUGUGAGCUAGGGACGUAACUAGAAACACUUCCAUCUCGACUGUAACCAUCUACUGGCCCAUUUCCACUCUGGGUACCCAGAAAUCCUCCAGGCUGUGCAGAGCUCUCAUAUUGAGACACAAAAGCAGGGCUCCGUCUUCUGGGAUAAGAAAAGAGAGGCCCAAUGCCACUGAUGCCUUCACUUUUGUCACGCAGUGCUAGAAAAAGAAAAAAUAUUUUAGAAGCCUAGAUUUUCAAGAGGUUACUGAAAUGAAGCGGCCAGUCGAGUCCCCU